UUAGGGUUAAGCUUAUUGUGGCAUAGAGAAGGCCCUGAUGGUGGCACUGCCCCCUUUGAAAGUUGGUUCUCAAAUAAACUACUUUUGAAGUCCCUUAAGUCUCUUAUGGGGUCAGCUAUUGAAAUCAUACCCAAGAGUAUGAAAAUUGCUACAAGAAAGAGAAACAAACAAAAUCUUAAACUAGAUCUCCUAAAACAUUGCAUGGUAGCUACUUUCAUUCACUUCUUGAACGUAUAAGAC
Molecule: long non-coding RNA, 240 nt
Filed under: Lupinus angustifolius (narrow-leaved blue lupine)
Lineage: Eukaryota; Viridiplantae; Streptophyta; Magnoliopsida; Fabales; Fabaceae
Description: long non-coding RNA (LANG_LNC001802)
Source: RNAcentral